UAAAGUGGUUGCAGCGGAGCUUCCUCAUAUUUUCCUAGAAAGAAUUUUCCAUUACCUUUCUUUCUUUAAAGUUGGUUGCAGCGGAGCUUCCUCAUAUUUUCCCAGAAAUUUCCUGUGUUGUAGGUGAAGCUUAGUUUAAGCUCAGGUGAGUGAAUAGCGGCUCUUCUGCAAACCAAGGAACUUCAUUUGGCCGUUUUUUCAUCAGCUGCUUCGCUCCGAUCAUCGUCUUCGAACAAGCUUCUCAAAAGAGGUGAAGCUUAGUUUAAGCUCAGGUGAGUGAAUAGCGGCUCUUCUGCAAACCAAGCAACUUCAUUUGGCCGUUUUCUUCAUCAGCUGCUUCUCUCCGAUCAUCGACUUCGAACAAGCUUCUCAAAAGGGCCAUGGACUUUGUUCUGAAUAAGAUAGAUAAACACUUGGACAAUCAUAGAAGCCUUGAUCAACAUCGGAAGGACCUUAAAAGGAAAUUGGAGGAAUUGAAUGGUUUGAAGGA
This is a long non-coding RNA of Hibiscus syriacus, 490 nucleotides long. RefSeq lists it as uncharacterized. Lineage: Eukaryota; Viridiplantae; Streptophyta; Magnoliopsida; Malvales; Malvaceae. The transcript has 3 exons. The record is from RefSeq and is a predicted model, not a curated record.